This 325-nucleotide long non-coding RNA is filed under the name Elaeis guineensis (African oil palm). RNAcentral describes it as "long non-coding RNA (EGUI_LNC026494)". Lineage: Eukaryota; Viridiplantae; Streptophyta; Magnoliopsida; Arecales; Arecaceae. The record is from RNAcentral.
GGUUGGAGCUAUGAAAGCUAGAUCUCAUGCAUUUAAAACCAUUCAAAGCGGUUAGAUCAUGAAUAAUCAAUUCACACAUAGUGUAUAUGCACAUAUCUAUUUGAAGCCCGUGAGAUAUACUAUAGUAUGGUCUUGCUGCCAUCACCUUGUUGCUUUCUAUUGGGAUUAGGAACUUGCAUCACCUAGCUUAGCACAUUUUGCCAUUUUUCACACCAAUGGAGCCGGUUGAUGUGUUGGAUCUAUUCAAAGCGGUAAAAAUACACUGAAGAGCAUCAAAUUUGUCUAUAACUGUAACUAUGUGAUGAUGAACUAAUGAAGUAGAUGC